Molecule: ribosomal RNA, 250 nt
Filed under: uncultured prokaryote
Description: partial 16S ribosomal RNA
Rfam family: Bacterial small subunit ribosomal RNA
Source: RNAcentral
UACGUAGGGGGCGAGCGUUAUCCGGAAUUAUUGGGUUUAAAGGGAGCGCAGGCUGGCGAUUAAGCGUGACGUGAAAUGCCGCGGCUCAACCGUGGAAGUGCGUCGCGAACUGGUCGUCUUGAGUGGGUUCGACGCCGGCGGAAUUCGUGGUGUAGCGGUGAAAUGCUUAGAUAUCACGAAGAACCCCGAUUGCGAAGGCAGCCGGCGAGGCCCCAACUGACGCUAAAGCUCGAAGGUGCGGGUAUCGAAC